GUCUUUUUAAUAUAUUUUAAAGUCUGGUCUGCUCACUGAUUAAUUAAAGAGCCGCAGUAUACUGACUGUGCAAAGGUAGCAUAAUCAAUAGUUUCUUAAUUGGAAUCUAGAAUGAAAGAUUAGACAAGGAAUUUAUUUUCUUUAUUUUAUUUAUUGAAUUUUAAUUUUAAGUGAAAAUGCUUAAUUUAACUUAUGGGACGAGAAGACCCUAUAGAUUUUUAUUGUUUAUUUAAAUUUUAUAUUUUAAUUUAUUAAAAUAAUUUAAUUGGGGCGAUUUUGUAAAAUAAAAAACUUAAUUUUUUAAUACCAUAAAUUAUUGAAUUUUUUGAUCUGAAAUUUUUAAAGAAAGAUUAAAUUACCUUAGGGAUAACAGCGUAAUUUUAUUUACGAGUUCAUAUCUAUAAUAAAGUUUGCGACCUCGAUGUUGAAUUAAGAUAAUGUAUUGAGUAGAAAUUAAUAUAAUUAGUCUGUUCGACUAUUAAAAACU
RNAcentral lists this ribosomal RNA (487 nucleotides) under Blaste sp. KY293. RNAcentral's name for it is "partial 16S ribosomal RNA". The record is from RNAcentral. Lineage: Eukaryota; Metazoa; Arthropoda; Insecta; Psocodea; Psocidae.